RNAcentral lists this long non-coding RNA (223 nucleotides) under Panax ginseng (ginseng). RNAcentral describes it as "long non-coding RNA (PGIN_LNC010881)". Lineage: Eukaryota; Viridiplantae; Streptophyta; Magnoliopsida; Apiales; Araliaceae. The record is from RNAcentral.
GAAUGAAAAGCAUAUGAGAAACGAUAUAAAACAUGUUCAUAAGAUUCAAAGUAGAUAGUAACUCCUGUAUGUAUAUAACUUAUAAGCUAUUCCUUUUUUGAUUGAUUAUCUAAUUUAACAUGGUCAUUAAACACAUUGCAAGUCUAUACUACAUUCAUGUUUUAGGACUGGAGUUGGCUAAAGGCAUAACCAUUGGUUAUCUAAUAAUAAUACCAAAACGAUC